AGCAUCGGUCUAUCUCAUGGGUCUCCUUCCUCUACCUGCAGUACUCUAGCUACAGCUAACAGUAGUCCCUGUACUCUGUAGAUAUAUAGCUUGUGGCGUUGUGCAUCGUGUACUAACACUCUGCCAUGUCCAAAGACGGCAGCCCGGCGGCGGCGGCUCAGCCUGAUCAGCCGGCGGUAGCCGACGCUGCCGCCGUACCGUCGCCGCCGCCGACGACGACGGCGGAGGUGAAGCCCCUGACCAUCUUCUACAACGGCAGCGUCGCCACGUUCCAUCUCACGCAAGACAAGGUCUGGCAGAGGAUAUCAUGAACAUGGCAGCCGGCGAGGAGGAGGAGGACGGCGGCGGCGGCGGCCGGCGGCAGUUGACGGCGGCGGCGGCGAUAUCGGCAAGCAGCAGCGGCGACCAGCUGCUGGAGAAGCUAAAGCGAGAGUUGCCCAUUGCGAACAAGAGAUCGUUGGUGCGCUUCUUCCAGAAGCGCAAGGAGAGAUUGUACAGGCCCUAGCUGGGGAGAUCCAUCAGGGAACUGAUGAACCAUAGAGGAGGCAACAACCAGUAGUAGUCUCCUAUUACUGCUGAUGCUCUGUGAAAAAGAUGUAGUUAGCACAGUAAUAAUUUACACCUACACACAGUGUGUAUACUGUAUAAUGGUUUUAUUAUCUCUGAACUCAUCUUCCAUGUGACCAUGUCAAUGUGAAUAUUUUUCUCUGGAAAGCGGUUUAGUUUUCAUUAAGUGAAAGGUA
This is an RNA transcript of Oryza sativa Japonica Group (Japanese rice), 743 nucleotides long. It is a transcript of the gene named protein TIFY 9, with no coding region annotated. The record is from RefSeq and is a predicted model, not a curated record. Lineage: Eukaryota; Viridiplantae; Streptophyta; Magnoliopsida; Poales; Poaceae.